This 810-nucleotide ribosomal RNA is filed under the name Acinetobacter baumannii Canada BC-5. Its description in RNAcentral is "bacterial SSU rRNA". It matches the Rfam family "Bacterial small subunit ribosomal RNA", at positions 28 to 832 of the family's 1533-position model. Lineage: Bacteria; Pseudomonadati; Pseudomonadota; Gammaproteobacteria; Moraxellales; Moraxellaceae. The record is from RNAcentral.
AUUGAACGCUGGCGGCAGGCUUAACACAUGCAAGUCGAGCGGGGGAAGGUAGCUUGCUACCGGACCUAGCGGCGGACGGGUGAGUAAUGCUUAGGAAUCUGCCUAUUAGUGGGGGACAACAUCUCGAAAGGGAUGCUAAUACCGCAUACGUCCUACGGGAGAAAGCAGGGGAUCUUCGGACCUUGCGCUAAUAGAUGAGCCUAAGUCGGAUUAGCUAGUUGGUGGGGUAAAGGCCUACCAAGGCGACGAUCUGUAGCGGGUCUGAGAGGAUGAUCCGCCACACUGGGACUGAGACACGGCCCAGACUCCUACGGGAGGCAGCAGUGGGGAAUAUUGGACAAUGGGGGGAACCCUGAUCCAGCCAUGCCGCGUGUGUGAAGAAGGCCUUAUGGUUGUAAAGCACUUUAAGCGAGGAGGAGGCUACUUUAGUUAAUACCUAGAGAUAGUGGACGUUACUCGCAGAAUAAGCACCGGCUAACUCUGUGCCAGCAGCCGCGGUAAUACAGAGGGUGCGAGCGUUAAUCGGAUUUACUGGGCGUAAAGCGUGCGUAGGCGGCUUAUUAAGUCGGAUGUGAAAUCCCCGAGCUUAACUUGGGAAUUGCAUUCGAUACUGGUGAGCUAGAGUAUGGGAGAGGAUGGUAGAAUUCCAGGUGUAGCGGUGAAAUGCGUAGAGAUCUGGAGGAAUACCGAUGGCGAAAGCAGCCAUCUGGCCUAAUACUGACGCUGAGGUACGAAAGCAUGGGGAGCAAACAGGAUUAGAUACCCUGGUAGUCCAUGCCGUAAACGAUGUCUACUAGCCGUUGGGGCCUU